AGUGCAGACCUUGACCCCUUAUUGGUUGUGACACCUUGGGAAAGUUAUUCAGCCUUAUUAAACCUCGAUUUUCUCAUCUAUAAAAAGAAGGUGACAGUUUCUGCCCUGCUUCUUUUACAGGGCGGUUGAAUGUGAAAGGGUCCUACAAAUGUGGUCAUGCCGUGUUUUAAACUGUCUGUAACCAAUUGCUACGACUUCUGCACAAACCCAUCCCGGAGGUCCGAGUGCCAAAGCUGCCCUUCAUGACUCGCGUCCACAGCCUGCAAAGCCCCUAGUGGAUCCUACCUCUGUGGCUGCUGCGACAGAGCUGCUGCCUUACCUGAGGCUUCCACGAACAACAGACUUUGUGAAGCAGCUUCAAGGACUUGGCAGAGAUGAGAUGAA
This 384-nucleotide long non-coding RNA is filed under the name Bos grunniens (domestic yak). RNAcentral describes it as "lncRNA (ENSBGRG00000000562.1)". Lineage: Eukaryota; Metazoa; Chordata; Mammalia; Artiodactyla; Bovidae. The record is from RNAcentral.